GUCAAGACUGAGAAUGCCACUUCACUUUGCAUUCGAACCUAUAACAACAUUUAUUUACUUAGAUUGUCAAGUUUCAAUGUAGUGAUAAGCAUUUCUUCUAGAUAAAAUUUAAAUUUAUAAUUAGUAUGUAAUGUUGGCGAAGUGAAGUUGUCAAUUUUUCAAUGAAAUCAAAAUACCUGAUUCAGCUCUGCUGUUUUCGUACAUUGGUUGCAGCUAUACUUUGGAGCCAUACCCAUCCCUUCAGGAAAGAAGCAGCUAAGUUACCAUCUUAGAAGACUUAAAGUCGUACUAUUACAGCUCUUAUUUGCACUGCCGGAGGUUGUGCUAUUCGAAGGCAGUACGUACAGUCUGGAUGUGGUUUGGCAUAAUGGAGCUCCUGGGAUUCUAUCUAUGAGAAAGACCUUGCUGCGCCUUCGGCUUCUAAUUCGAUUAUCACAGCAGAGUCAAGAGAUACAGUUUUAUUCAUUAGAUAAUUAUCGAGAUUGGUAUGACUAUGUUCAACUUGAAUAUCCUUCAACAUGGAGGAAGUAUCGUCACAACGUUGCGUCUCUGAUAUCACAUUUUCGAAGCUUAUGUCGAGCUUUGUGAUGGAUUCCAUGUUCAAUAUUUGUCUGGUGUCACAAUCUGGUAUUUCAAGGUCAAAUUUGGAUCUUGAAAUUUUUCCAAUUAACUUUGGACUCAGAUCCUUAAAAUGCAACGGGUCAGUCGAAUUUUGGGAAUUACACAUCACCGCUUCAGGGGUCCUUAGAUUUGGAUCUGGUGUAUCAUGAUCUACUCCCAAACUUUGGUCAAGAUAGUCAAUUUCAAUAUUUUCAUUUGAUUUAUCCAGUGUAAGACAAGAAUCUUGGAGAAUUUGCUUUUGGCGAGCUCGACGGUGGUUCUUACGCCUCGUCAUUUUUGCGGCUUGUCAAUAGUUUGUUCUUAAAACGAAUGGAUCCAAUUUUCCAGGAAUUGUUACUAAAAAAUAGUGACGCUUCAAAUAACCGAAAGAUGCAAAAGCUUCAAAAUAAGGAUAGUGUGGUUUAUUUUUCUAAGGUGAUAGUUUAAAUUUUUUUAACUUCUAACUUCUAAUGCGAUAAUUUGAACAUCAUAAUUCAUUGUAAAGAUAUCACUAAUUACGAAGAUCUUAUUGUGCUAUAGGAAUAAAUAUUUAAUUAUGAGUUGAUGUGUACCUAAGCAUGAAUUGUAUUUUCCAGUGUGAGUUUGUGUGACUAAUCGUAACCCCAGUUUAUACAAUAGUAUGGUAUGUAGUUUAAAAAGUAUUUGGUAUGAAUUACCUUGAGCUUUAAAUCAGGAGACUUAUGAGAAAAAGUUUGCUACACAGAAAAGUCUGGUUGACUCGUUCUGUAUUUUGUCACGACCGAUGCAAAUUUGAAAUAUGUUAACCGACUUUAUUACUUCAGACAUUCUGUUUAUUUACAUUUUGAGAACGUCUGUAUGACAGGUGUCUCUGAUUGGGUGACAGAAUGCUUUUGACAUUGGAUUGGAGAGACAACUAAACAUUCCCAAAGUUUGCUUGACUCACAAUAUUUCUGCUAGCUUUUUUUUAGUACACACAACCACGAUAAUAGCGCGUGCAACGGAUUGGGUUUCAAAACUAUUAUUUGAAAGCCGUACCGUUGACUGAAGAAUAUACAGUUGCUCUAAUGGGCUUUGGUGUGACAAUCGAAAAUCGACGUGCGCUUGCGCCCCUUGAGUUGUUCGAACUGUAGAAUUGAGAACUUAUUGCAGAACAUGAGAGAGUUACCGAUUUCGACAUGAGGCUGGCUGCAUUCACCUUCCGAGUAACAGUUAUCGCAAUGGUAAGCCCACGCCAGUACUUAGCCUGUGUCUAGUUACAGACUUGUCGGCGAUACAAGAAAUUAAUAAGAGUAUUAAUUUCUUCCAAAAUUCGUAGCAAAACAGUGAUUUAAUUAAAGCAUAAGUACCCGAGAGAAGAAUGUAUACAUAGAUUAUAAAUAAUGUACGAUAUUAAUAUAUAUGAUCCAUUUAUGAUUAAUACCUGAUUCAUACAAUAAAUUUUAUAAUUUUCCAAGAGACAAACUAGAUUAUCUAAAAUCUUCAGGAAUAAUAUGAAAACAUCAGAAUUAUUCGUUUCGAAAUAGGAUUCUAUUCGACGACCGCUCGAUGUAUUCCAUAACAUUGAUGUUCAUAAUUAUUGCAACAACUUUUCAUUUGCUCUCUCGAUUUUGAAUUUUCGUAUGCAUAGAAGGAUUAUGCAUCAAGGUAUAAUCCGAGGUGGUUAUCGGUGAUUGUUGGAGGUGGUUG
Molecule: long non-coding RNA, 2268 nt
Organism: Neodiprion virginianus
Lineage: Eukaryota; Metazoa; Arthropoda; Insecta; Hymenoptera; Diprionidae
Exons: 4
Source: RefSeq, a predicted model, not a curated record